GAUGAACGCUGGCGGCGUGCCUAACACAUGCAAGUCGAGCGAACAGACGAGGAGUUUGUUCCUCUGACGUUAGCGGCGGAGGGGUGAGUAACACGUGGAUCAUCCCCCUAAAAGACUGGGAUAACUUCGGGAAACCGGAGCUAAUACCGGAAAAUAUAUUUAACGCAUUGGUUAAAUAGCGAAAGACGGCUUUGCUGUCACUUAUAGCUGGAGCCGAGACGCAUUAGCUAGUAUGUAAGGAAACGGCCUACCAAGGCAACCAUGGUUAACAGACCUGACGGGGUGGUCGGCCAGACUGAAAGUGAGGCACGGUCCAGACUCCUGCGGGAGGCAGCAGUAGGGAAUCUUACGCGAUGGAGGAGAGCCUGACAGAGCAACGUCGAGUGAAUGAUGAAGGUCUGCGGAUCGGAAAACUCUGUUGUUAGGCAGAAUCAAAUGUGUAAGUAACUAUGCACGUCAUGACGGUACCUAAUCAGAAAGCCACGGCUAACUACGUG
This 497-nucleotide ribosomal RNA is filed under the name uncultured bacterium. RNAcentral describes it as "partial 16S ribosomal RNA". It matches the Rfam family "Bacterial small subunit ribosomal RNA", at positions 28 to 507 of the family's 1533-position model. The record is from RNAcentral.